This 253-nucleotide ribosomal RNA is filed under the name uncultured bacterium. RNAcentral describes it as "partial 16S ribosomal RNA". It matches the Rfam family "Bacterial small subunit ribosomal RNA", at positions 524 to 776 of the family's 1533-position model. The record is from RNAcentral.
UACGUAGGGUGCAAGCGUUAAUCGGAAUUACUGGGCGUAAAGCGUGCGCAGGCGGUUCGCCACGUCAGGUGUGAAAUCCCCGGGCUUAACCUGGGAAUUGCGCUUGAAACUAGCGGGCUUGAGUGUGGCAGAGGGGGGUGGAAUUCCACGUGUAGCAGUGAAAUGCGUAGAGAUGUGGAGGAACACCGAUGGCGAAGGCAGCCCCCUGGGCUAACACUGACGCUCAUGCACGAAAGCGUGGGGAGCAAACAGG